This 916-nucleotide ribosomal RNA is filed under the name uncultured archaeon. RNAcentral's name for it is "bacterial SSU rRNA". It matches the Rfam family "Archaeal small subunit ribosomal RNA", at positions 26 to 922 of the family's 1478-position model. The record is from RNAcentral.
ACUGCUAUCGAGAUGGGACUAAGGUAUGCUAGUCGAACGACCAGAACUAUGUCUGGAAGUGGCACACUGCUCAGUAACACGUAGCUAACCUACCCUUAGGACGUGGAUACCCCCGAGAAAUUGGGGUUAAUCCGCGAUAGGUGUAAUGUCCUGGAAUGGUAUUACGCCUAAAGGUGUAUCAUACAUGUUUGAUAUACGCCUAAGGAUGGGGCUGCGGCCGAUCAGGCUGUUGGUGAGGUAAUGGCUCACCAAACCUUUGACCGGUACGGGCCAUGAGAGUGGUAGCCCGGAGAUGGACACUGAGACAAGGGUCCAGGCCCUAAGGGGCGCAGCAACCGCGAAACCUCCACAAUGCACUCACGUGCGAUGGGGCUAUCUCGAGUGCCACCUGAUGAAGGUGGCUUUUCCUAGGUCUUCAAAGCCUUGGGAAUAAGAGGGGGGCAAGACUGGUGUCAGCCGCCGCGGUAACACCAGCCCCUCGAGUGGUGGGGAUGAUUAUUUGGCCUAAAGCGUCCGUAGCCGGCCGAGCAAGUCUUCCGUUAAAUCCAGCGUCUCAAGCGUUGGACUGCGGGAGAUACUACACGGCUAGAGAGUGGGAGAGGUCAGCGGUAUUCUGGGGGUAGGGGCGAAAUCCUUUGAUCCCCGGAGGACCACCAGUGGCGAAGGCUGCUGACUAGAACACGUCUGACGGUCAGGGACGAAAGCUGGGGUAGCGAACCGGAUUAGAUACCCGGGUAGUCCCAGCCGUAAACGAUGCAUGCUAGGUGUUGGGUUGGCCACGAGCCACCCCAGUGCCGCAGGGAAGCCGUUAAGCAUGCCGCCUGGGAAGUACGAUCGCAAGAUUGAAACUUAAAGGAAUUGGCGGGGGAGCACCACCAGGCGUGAAGCCUGCGGUUUAAUUGGAUUCAACGCCGGA